Patella vulgata (common limpet) is the source of this 449-nucleotide long non-coding RNA. RefSeq lists it as uncharacterized. Lineage: Eukaryota; Metazoa; Mollusca; Gastropoda; Patellidae. The record is from RefSeq and is a predicted model, not a curated record. The transcript is spliced from 3 exons.
UUUAGGAUUACUGGGUGACACGAAUGUACAAACAGCUUGUAGGCGAUCGCGUUUUCAAACUGAACGGCAGUCCAAAUGUAAACCUUCGUUAUUAUGCUCAUUGCACCAGAUAUCCCAGUCCCUUGGGUUACGCUAAAGGAAGUGUGACUGUAUAUUUAAUGAAUCUAGGAAGUAGUGCAAUAACUGUUAAUAUUAAUGGUGCCAGUAACCAACAUCUGUAUAUGCUAUCUCCUGGAGAUAAUAACGGUCUGAGAUCAGCGUACAUAAAACUGAAUGGCAAUGUACUCAGGAUGACAAGUGAUUCCUAUAUACCACAGUUUACUCACGUGCAACACAGAGGAUCUGUAAGGGUGGAAGGUUAUAAUAUGGGUUUUAUCGUUUUAACUGAUAUCAGAAAAGUAGAAUGCCUGUAAACAUAAUACCUGUAAUAAUAAAGUUUCGAAAAUAUA